GAACAUCAAUGCACGAAGAAUCAAACAGGAAACAAUUUGAUACUACACGAUUUGCUUACGCAUCUAUAUAAGCACCAUGUAUCGAAGGGUAAUAGAAACCAUCACAUAUUGGGCAUAAGAGCACCACUCGGGACGAAGGAAAAGGCUACGUAUUGCUUCUGGUCAUAUGGGGAACGCAAAGGCUUUAUGCUUGGUAGCUCUUGUUGUAAUGUCUACCUGUUGCUGGCCUUGUUCUGCAUCAGAGGGCGAUAUAGGUGUUGCAGAAGGUGAGCUUAGACAUACGUGUAACUACAUGCUAGGUGGUAACACUACGACAGAAAGGUGCAGAGGGAUUUGCGAGGCAAAGGGAAGUAUCUACAAUCCUGACGCAAGUUACAUUGAAGGCUGCGACAGGAGCUAUACAUGCAUGUGCUGUUGUGUUAUGUACUAAUGAGCUAGCAAGCCGUAGCGGCGAGUC
Molecule: long non-coding RNA, 457 nt
Organism: Lolium perenne
Lineage: Eukaryota; Viridiplantae; Streptophyta; Magnoliopsida; Poales; Poaceae
Source: RefSeq, a predicted model, not a curated record